Molecule: ribosomal RNA, 855 nt
Filed under: uncultured bacterium
Lineage: Bacteria
Description: bacterial SSU rRNA
Rfam family: Bacterial small subunit ribosomal RNA
Source: RNAcentral
AGAGUUUGAUCCUGGCUCAGAUUGAACGCUGGCGGUAUGCUUAACACAUGCAAGUCGAACGGAAACGAUACUAGCUUGCUAGUAGGCGUCGAGUGGCGGACGGGUGAGUAACGCGUAGGAAUCUGCCUGAUAGUGGGGGAUAGCCCGGAGAAAUUCGGAUUAAUACCGCAUAAUCUAUUUGUAGUAAAGUGGGGGACUUUCGAGCCUCACGCUAUCAGAUGAGCCUGCGUAAGAUUAGCUUGCUGGUAGGGUAAAAGCCUACCAAGGCGACGAUCUUUAGCUGGUCUGAGAGGAUGAUCAGCCACAUCGGGACUGAGACACGGCCCGAACUCCUACGGGAGGCAGCAGUGGGGAAUAUUGGACAAUGGGGGCAACCCUGAUCCAGCAAUACCGCGUGUGUGAAGAAGGCCUGAGGGUUGUAAAGCACUUUCAAUUGUGAAGAAAAGUUAACGGUUAAUAACCGUUAGCCUUGACGUUAACUUUAGAAGAAGCACCGGCUAACUCCGUGCCAGCAGCCGCGGUAAUACGGAGGGUGCAAGCGUUAAUCGGAAUUACUGGGCGUAAAGCGUGCGUAGGCGGUUUAUUAAGUCAGAUGUGAAAGCCCCGGGCUUAACCUAGGAACUGCAUUUGAAACUGGUAAACUAGAGUAUGGUAGAGGAAAGUGGAAUUUCUGGUGUAGCGGUGAAAUGCGUAGAUAUCAGAAGGAACAUCAAUGGCGAAGGCAGCUUUCUGGACCAAUACUGACGCUGAGGUACGAAAGCGUGGGUAGCAAACAGGAUUAGAUACCCUGGUAGUCCACGCCGUAAACGAUGAUAACUAGCCGUUGGGGGGGAUUUACCCUUUAGUGGCGAAGCU